AACGAAUCCUUUAUCCUCUAUGUUCCUCCCCUCCUAAAUCCAACAUGUCAUCUUUACUUUAAACAGAGGGUCUUUAGCUUUGUAGACUCGUCGAAAUCACAAGUUAUUCAGACCAUCGUCUGAGUUAAUUCGUGGUAAAAUGAGAGCUAAGUGGAGAAAGAAGCGUAUGCGUAGGUUGAAGCGAAAACGCAGGAAGAUGCGUGCAAGGUCCAAGUAGAUGUUCCUGUGAAGCUAUGGGAUCUCCAUUAUUUG
Harmonia axyridis is the source of this 252-nucleotide long non-coding RNA. RefSeq lists it as uncharacterized. The transcript has 3 exons. The record is from RefSeq and is a predicted model, not a curated record. Lineage: Eukaryota; Metazoa; Arthropoda; Insecta; Coleoptera; Coccinellidae.